AUUGACGGAAGGGCACCACCAGGAGUGGAGCCUGCGGCUUAAUUUGACUCAACACGGGAAACCUCACCCGGCCCGGACACGGAAAGGAUUGACAGAUUGAAAGCUCUUUCUCGAUUCUGUGGGUGGUGGUGCAUGGCCGUUCUUAGUUGGUGGAGCGAUUUGUCUGGUUCAUUCCGAUAACGAACGAGACUCCGGCAUGCUAAAUAGUUACGCGGCCCCGCGCGGUCGGCGUCCAACUUCUUAGAGGGACAAGUGGCGUUCAGCCACGCGAGAUGGAGCAAUAACAGGUCUGUGAUGCCCUUAGAUGUCCGGGGCUGCACGCGCGCCACAAUGGGCGGAUCAGCGUGUGCCUACCCUGCGCCGAGAGGUGCGGGUAACCCGCUGAACCCCGCUCGUGAUCGGGACUGGGGAUUGAAACUGUUUCCCAUCAACGAGGAAUUCCCAGUAAGCGCGGGUCAUAAGCUCGCGUUGAUUAAGUCCCUGCCCUUUGUACACACCGCCCGUCGCUACUACCGAUUGGG
RNAcentral lists this ribosomal RNA (521 nucleotides) under Enterobacter hormaechei. RNAcentral describes it as "SSU rRNA". It matches the Rfam family "Eukaryotic small subunit ribosomal RNA", at positions 1152 to 1693 of the family's 1831-position model. The record is from RNAcentral. Lineage: Bacteria; Pseudomonadati; Pseudomonadota; Gammaproteobacteria; Enterobacterales; Enterobacteriaceae.